Exaiptasia diaphana is the source of this 424-nucleotide long non-coding RNA. RefSeq lists it as uncharacterized. The transcript is spliced from 4 exons. Lineage: Eukaryota; Metazoa; Cnidaria; Anthozoa; Actiniaria; Aiptasiidae. The record is from RefSeq and is a predicted model, not a curated record.
CAUGGUUUAAUGAUUUUUGCGGGGUGCACCCCCUCCUGAGAUCCCCGUACCCCUCCCUGAGGAAAAUCCUGGAUCCGCCCCUGUAACAUAAACGUUUAGCUUACUAAGCUUUGUUUUUUAGGGACUUGCAGCUCUUAAACACCUUUACCACUCCAAAGAUGAUGGCGUCCGGGUUAGAGCUCUUGUUGGAUUGUGCAAAGUGGGCACAACUGGAGGAGGGUCAGUUGAAGAUCAGACCUUUGCUGAAGGAGCGACAUUGAAACUGUAUAAAUCUGCUAGAAAAUAUCUCACAAAACCUAAAAAGGAAAUGGAUUUCCGUCGAUGGGCUGCUGAAGCAUUGUCAUUUUUAAGCAUGGAUGCUGAUGUUAAGGAGGAAUUUAUUGAGGACACUGCAGCCCUACAAGCUAUUAUCGAACUCACCAAG